GACGAACCGUGCGAACGUUAUUCGGAAUCACUGGGCUUAAAGCGCGUGUAGGCGGAUGAGCACGUCUGUCGCUGAAAUCCCCCGGCUCAACCGGGGAACGGGCGCGGAUACGGCUCGUCUCGAGGGGCGUAGGGGGACCUGGAACUUCCGGUGGAGCGGUGAAAUGCGUUGAGAUCGGAAGGAACGCCCGUGGCGAAAGCGGGGUCCUGGACGCCUACUGACGCUGAGACGCGAAAGCCAGGGGAGCGAACGGG
This 254-nucleotide ribosomal RNA is filed under the name uncultured bacterium. Its description in RNAcentral is "partial 16S ribosomal RNA". It matches the Rfam family "Bacterial small subunit ribosomal RNA", at positions 524 to 776 of the family's 1533-position model. The record is from RNAcentral.